Molecule: long non-coding RNA, 590 nt
Filed under: Gossypium raimondii (Peruvian cotton)
Lineage: Eukaryota; Viridiplantae; Streptophyta; Magnoliopsida; Malvales; Malvaceae
Description: long non-coding RNA (GRAI_LNC008836)
Source: RNAcentral
UCUGCUAGGGCUUGGGACCCUAGCGUCCUCGCGCCACCCUCGGCCCACGCCGGCGCUCCGAUCACGACGGAAACGGCCACCGGUCCGGCGUCCUCGGUGAAUGGGGUAAGAUUUUUCCCCUUUUCUUUGUUAUUAUUUGUUUUUUAAAAAAACGCAAAAAAAAAAAGAAAAAGAAAACAUAAAUAUAUAAAAAAACCCGAUUCACCUUAAAACAGUGUAUUCUCUGCUUUUCUUUCAAUUUUUUUUUGUCUAUCUCUCUGUAUUUUUCCCCGCCCCUUUUACAGAUUUGAUAGACCUUUUAUAGGCCGAAAAUAAAGAAAAUAAAAUAAUCUAAAUGCUGUUUUUUGCUGCUUCUUCUCUCUGGGACUCUCUAAGUCCGUGUUUUCGCAGGUGACGUGCGUGGAGAGGGGUCGACCUCCGAGUUGUGCGGCGACUGGGCGUUAGGCGCGACGCGAGGCUGCUGGGCGCACCUGAAGGCUUGCUGCGGCGCUCCUUAGGGCUAGGGUUCUUUCUUUUUCUUUGGGCCAGGGUUGUUUUGGGGUUUGGUUUAAUGAUUUGGGGCUUAGGUUAGUUUUGGGCCUGUAUUUGUU